UACGAAGGGGGCUAGCGUUGUUCGGAAUUACUGGGCGUAAAGGGCGCGUAGGCGGCUAUUUAAGUCAGUGGUGAAAGCCCGGAGCUCAACUCCGGAACUGCCAUUGAAACUGUUUAGCUUGAGUACGAGAGAGGUGAGUGGAAUUCCCAGUGUAGAGGUGAAAUUCGUAGAUAUUGGGAAGAACACCGGUGGCGAAGGCGGCUCACUGGCUCGUAUCUGACGCUCAGGCGCGACAGCGUGGGGAUCAAACAGG
This 253-nucleotide ribosomal RNA is filed under the name uncultured bacterium. Its description in RNAcentral is "partial 16S ribosomal RNA". It matches the Rfam family "Bacterial small subunit ribosomal RNA", at positions 524 to 776 of the family's 1533-position model. The record is from RNAcentral.